Molecule: ribosomal RNA, 448 nt
Filed under: uncultured bacterium
Lineage: Bacteria
Description: bacterial SSU rRNA
Rfam family: Bacterial small subunit ribosomal RNA
Source: RNAcentral
UGGGGAAUAUUGCGCAAUGGGCGAAAGCCUGACGCAGCGACGCCGCGUGUGUGAUGAAGGCCUUCGGGUUGUAAAGCACUGUGGGGGGAGAAGAAUUAGUAGGGGUUAAUGCCCCCUAUGAUGACGGUAUCCCCUUAGCAAGCACCGGCUAACUCUGUGCCAGCAGCCGCGGUAAGACAGAGGGUGCAAACGUUGUUCGGAAUUACUGGGCGUAAAGCGUGUGUAGGCGGCUAAGUAAGUCGGAUGUGAAAGCCCUGGGCUCAACCCAGGAAGUGCACCCGAUACUGCCUAGCUUGAGACUCGGAGAGGUUGGUGGAAUUCUCGGUGUAGAGGUGAAAUUCGUAGAUAUCGAGAGGAACAUCGGUGGCGAAGGCGGCCAACUGGACGAAGUCUGACGCUGAGACACGAAAGCGUGGGGAGCAAACAGGAUUAGAUACCCCGGUAGUCC